AUUGAACGCUGGCGGCAGGCUUAACACAUGCAAGUCGAGCGGGGUGAUGGUGCUUGCACUAUCACUUAGCGGCGGACGGGUGAGUAAUGCUUAGGAAUCUGCCUAUUAGUGGGGGACAACAUCUCGAAAGGGAUGCUAAUACCGCAUACGUCCUACGGGAGAAAGCAGGGGAUCACUUGUGACCUUGCGCUAAUAGAUGAGCCUAAGUCGGAUUAGCUAGUUGGUGGGGUAAAGGCCUACCAAGGCGACGAUCUGUAGAGGGUCUGAGAGGAUGAUCCGCCACACUGGGACUGAGACACGGCUCAGACUACUACGGGAGGCAGCAGUGGGGAAUAUUGGACAAGGGGGGGAACCCUGAUCCAGCCAUGCCGCGUGUGUGAAGAAGGCCUUAUGGUUGUAAAGCACUUUAAGCGAGGAGGAGGCUCUUUUGGUUAAUACCCAAGAUGAGUGGACGUUACUCGCAGAAUAAGCACCGGCUAACUCUGUGCCAGCAGCCGCGGUAA
This 503-nucleotide ribosomal RNA is filed under the name uncultured bacterium. Its description in RNAcentral is "partial 16S ribosomal RNA". It matches the Rfam family "Bacterial small subunit ribosomal RNA", at positions 30 to 523 of the family's 1533-position model. The record is from RNAcentral.